CUUCUUUCUGGCUGGUUGCUCCAGUUUUUUCCUGUGUUGCUGAGUUCUAUUUUUUUUUUUUUAAUCUAGAAAAUAUUUUGAGCUCUUCAAAUGAAAGGUUUUAUUUGAAAGAAAAAUAUUAUUGCCAUUGAGAAAUUACUAAAUUAAAAAGUCCUUUCCUUUUUGAUGAUUUCUUCCUUCCUUCCUGAAUACAGAUUUUAUGGCAUCUCAAAUAGGCCUGGAGGUCACAAUGUGAAUAAUCCAAGACUAGGACUUUGAACUGAUUUUGAAAACUAAGAAGCUUGGUAGCUUUUUAACACCUCCUUAUUUUACUACAUGCCCCAGCACAUCUUAGUGUUGGAGCUAUGCAACAAAGAACCCUCUUAAUGAUCUUUGGAACUUAUAUCUAAGCAGUUCCUUCCUUCCCCCUCCAUACCCCACCUCCCCUUUUAUUUUUUUCUUUCUUUUCUGCCAGAAGUCUAAUCUUAUCGUGCUAAAGGCAUGGGAUGUUCUACACUUUUUGCAACACAUCUACAGAUAUGAUCAAAUCUCACUACCCUUGUUCUCUGCACUGACGGUCUUUUCUUCUACUCUUCCCCCUAACUGCACACCCCACGUGGCCCCCGGCUCACUAUUGACAUCCCCAGUGCUCAGAUCACACCUGGGACACUCUCGCCGACCUCUUUCAAGAUUUCUGGGGAGAGAUAAAAAUGUGUUUGUCCCUUGAGUGAAACAGGAAGUUCAGCAAGUCAAAACAUUGCUUCUGUGGAUCUGGUUGGGGUUAUCCAUUUGUCAGGAGUGCAUGUUUUUACCUGUAUCAGCAUUAAGGAAGGCAGGAGGUCUAAUGCAUCCGACCACAUCAUUGUGAUAAAGGAAGGAAAGCAGAACUUGCCAGCAGCAUACCUCAGCCAGGAGAUGAAACGGGUGAGCUCCUGCAGCACACAGGAGCAGGGUGCAACACUUAACACUUUCAGGGGUUCAGGGUGAAAACAGAAAAAUAUAUUUUAGAUGGCAAUCAAAUAAUGGAAGGACUGAAGAAUAAAAUAGUUGCCUACAUCACCUUGUUUAGAGCUGUCUGUAAGUCCUCUGACAAUACUGUUGUCUAUAAAAACCCUUAUGAUGGCUUUCAGUUUUUUCCCCAAAUUUUUGUGCUGUUGACACCUGCUGACAAAUGCUGGAGCAGAGUGCAGUCAUGAAACAUCAUUUAUUUUAAGGGAGAACUUUUAUCUGUUUCCAUAUAAAAGUUAAGAAAGAAACCAAAUAUGAGCCUGGCAGUCUGUGUAGAUGUGACUUUGGGCCAGACUUAGUAUUUUGGUAUAAACACUAAAAGCCUUUCAAAAAAUAAUAUCCUGUGGCUUUUGCACUUCCAUUAUAUUAAACAGAUUUUCUUUACUCACAGUGGGAUUUCAAAUUAAUUUGUAAUUAUACACACAAUGAGGGGAUGAGAAAGAAAUGAACUAAUUAUAGACCAAAAAGAUGCCCUACAGCUAUCAUCCAAUUACUCCAACCAUCUGAGCUCUUACGCAAAAUGAUGGGCUUAAUCCUCUCUUGGUCACAUCUAGUUGUAAUUUGCCACUGGAAGCUAUAAUUUCACUUUAAAUAUUCAUUCACAUAAUAUAAAACUCUGUGCUGAUGUUACUUAGGAUGGAAACAGAUAAUGAGAAUGGGUCACAAUCACAGACAUCCUUCUAGACUUUGGUCUCCACGAACUAUGUGACCAUUGGGUGAGAGAGAAAAUCACAGUUUUUCUGCUGUGUCCCCCAAAUGGUACUAAUUUGCUAUAAUUAGGCAGAUAGAAAGCUUUUAAACUAAUGGAAAGAUCACAAAUACCCACUAACAAAUGCAACCUAUCUCCCAGUUUCAACCUUCCCUUUCAACAUAGGAUGAAGAGUUCAUGAAGAGCUACAGUAAUGUGUGGGUUAAGAAGUAGCUUUCUAAUUGAACAAAUUUUUACCUCUGUUCUUUAUGCAAUAUACUCAUUUUAUAUUAAUAGUGUUUUCACUAAAAUCUUGCAGUAGAGCAGGAAGAUUAAGAUGAAGGAAGGGGCAUGGUACAGAAGAGGAAAGACCUAUAUGCUGCAAGAGAGCUAGAGCUUAAAGAAAAUGAAAUUUACCAUUGUGAAAGAUCUUGGCAGGUUAAAUGAUCAGCUCAUUGACCUAAAAAGACAAACCAGUUCUUUUUCAUGUAUAAAUUGGAUGCUCUGCAAGUAUCUGAGUAAGUGCUGGCCAAAAAAUGGUUUACUUAUGAACUGCUGUGUGUCUUGACACAUUAUACAGCUUUUAAUAAUUAAGUAAAAGGAAGCUCUGUAUCAAGAAAGUUACCAUCAUAUAGGAAAUAUAAAUUAUGUGUUUCAGUGCUGUGCACAGAUUUCACUGACAUGGGCAUGACUGGUACUUCUGUUGCCUAGAUUAACUGAGCUGGUCAAUUAUCAGGAUUAUAUGGCUGGCAGAAAGGAUCCACAGAGAAGCUUACUAGACUGAAACUGAAUUGGGAUAAAAGACUAUUUGUAGAGCCAUGCACCUGGAUUUACUGCAGGGAAGAAAAAGAAGCUGUGUUCAGGGUGGUGUAUAAGCCUUUACUUUGUGAGACAUGAUGGUGGCUGUAUAGCUGUGCAGAGCCCAAGCCCUGCCCUUUGCCAAAGGAUAUGUCUAGUCCUGUGGUAGAAAUUUGUUUAAAAGAGUUGACUGAAGAAUCUUUCUUCUUUAGUCAUUUGUACAGUUUGUCAGAACAGGAUUCAAGUAUUGUCAAUCAUCUUGAAAUCUAACUAGUUUAUAGCUUGUGCUCUGAACCUACCCAUUCUUUUGAUCUUUUUGCCUUAAGAAUGCAACUGCAUGAGAAAUACAUUAAUAAACUUUAAAGAGAA
Long non-coding RNA from Pezoporus occidentalis (night parrot), 2842 nucleotides. RefSeq lists it as uncharacterized. Lineage: Eukaryota; Metazoa; Chordata; Aves; Psittaciformes; Psittacidae. The record is from RefSeq and is a predicted model, not a curated record. The transcript is spliced from 3 exons.